This 544-nucleotide ribosomal RNA is filed under the name Bacteroides acidifaciens. RNAcentral's name for it is "bacterial SSU rRNA". It matches the Rfam family "Bacterial small subunit ribosomal RNA", at positions 377 to 921 of the family's 1533-position model. The record is from RNAcentral. Lineage: Bacteria; Pseudomonadati; Bacteroidota; Bacteroidia; Bacteroidales; Bacteroidaceae.
GAGAGUCUGAACCAGCCAAGUAGCGUGAAGGAUGACUGCCCUAUGGGUUGUAAACUUCUUUUAUAUGGGAAUAAAAUGUUCCACGUGUGGGAUUUUGUAUGUACCAUAUGAAUAAGGAUCGGCUAACUCCGUGCCAGCAGCCGCGGUAAUACGGAGGAUCCGAGCGUUAUCCGGAUUUAUUGGGUUUAAAGGGAGCGUAGGUGGAUUGUUAAGUCAGUUGUGAAAGUUUGCGGCUCAACCGUAAAAUUGCAGUUGAAACUGGCAGUCUUGAGUACAGUAGAGGUGGGCGGAAUUCGUGGUGUAGCGGUGAAAUGCUUAGAUAUCACGAAGAACUCCGAUUGCGAAGGCAGCUCACUGGACUGCAACUGACACUGAGGCUCGAAAGUGUGGGUAUCAAACAGGAUUAGAUACCCUGGUAGUCCACACAGUAAACGAUGAAUACUCGCUGUUUGCGAUAUACAGCAAGCGGCCAAGCGAAAGCAUUAAGUAUUCCACCUGGGGAGUACGCCGGCAACGGUGAAACUCAAAGGAAUUGACGGGGGCC